This 376-nucleotide ribosomal RNA is filed under the name uncultured Sphingobacteriales bacterium. Its description in RNAcentral is "bacterial SSU rRNA". It matches the Rfam family "Bacterial small subunit ribosomal RNA", at positions 1004 to 1382 of the family's 1533-position model. The record is from RNAcentral. Lineage: Bacteria; Pseudomonadati; Bacteroidota; Sphingobacteriia; Sphingobacteriales.
AAAGACUUACAUCUCUUCGGAGCAUUUUACGAGGUGCUGCAUGGUUGUCGUCAGCUCGUGCCGUGAGGUGUCGGGUUAAGUCCCAUAACGAGCGCAACCCUACCUUUAGUUGCCAUCAGGUUAAGCUGGGGACUCUAAAGGAACUGCCUACGCAAGUAGUGAGGAAGCGGGGAUGACGUCAAAUCAGCACGGCCCUUACGUCCAGGGCUACACACGUGCUACAAUGGCCGAUACAGAGGGCAGCUACCUGGUGACAGGAUGCAAAUCUCCAAAGUCGGUCUCAGUUCGGAUCGGAGUCUGCAACCCGACUCCGUGGAGCUGGAAUCGCUAGUAAUCGCGCAUCAGCCAUGGCGCGGUGAAUACGUUCCCGGGCCUU